Molecule: non-coding RNA, 71 nt
Organism: Megalops atlanticus (tarpon)
Lineage: Eukaryota; Metazoa; Chordata; Actinopteri; Elopiformes; Megalopidae
Source: the annotation of a GenBank genome assembly
GGUGGUGUGAUGUAGUGGUGAUGAGUUGGGCUCGUAAUCGAAAGGUUGCCGGUUUGAUUCCCCCACUGUCA